GUAGGGUCCAAGCGUUAAUCGGGAAUUACUGGGGCGUAAAGCGUGCGCAGGCGGUUGUGCAAGACCGAUGUGAAAUCCCCGGGGCUUAACCUGGGAAUUGCAUUGGUGACUGCACGGCUAGAGUGUGUCAGAGGGGGGUGGAAUUCCACGUGUAGCAGUGAAAUGCGUAGAGAUGUGGAGGAAUACCGAUGGCGAAGGCAGCCCCCUGGGAUAACACUGACGCUCAUGCACGAAAGCGUGGGGAGCAAACAGGAUUAGAUACCCUGGUAGUCCACGCCCUAAACGAUGUCAACUAGUUGUUGGGGAUUCAUUUCCUUAGUAACGUAGCUAACGCGUGAAGUUGACCGCCUGGGGAGUACGGUCGCAAGAUUA
RNAcentral lists this ribosomal RNA (372 nucleotides) under uncultured organism. Its description in RNAcentral is "partial 16S ribosomal RNA". It matches the Rfam family "Bacterial small subunit ribosomal RNA", at positions 527 to 896 of the family's 1533-position model. The record is from RNAcentral.